AGCAGAGUGGCGCAGUGGAAGCGUGCUGGGCCCAUAACCCAGAGGUCCUUGAUCGAUACCACGCUCUGCUA
Non-coding RNA from Cordylochernes scorpioides, 71 nucleotides. Lineage: Eukaryota; Metazoa; Arthropoda; Arachnida; Pseudoscorpiones; Chernetidae. The record is from the annotation of a GenBank genome assembly.